CAAUAGCGUAUAUUUAAGUUGUUGCAGUUAAAAAGCUCGUAGUCGGAUUUUGGCUGAGAACGACCGGUCCGCCGUUAGGUGUGCACUGAUUGGUCUCAGCUUCCUGGUGAGGAGGUGUGCUUCACGGCCACUUAGUCACCGUGGUUACUUUGAAAAAAUUAGAGUGUUCAAAGCGGGCUUACGCUUGAAUAUAUUAGCAUGGAAUAACACCAUAGGACUCCUGUCCUAUUUCGUUGGUCUCGGGACGGGAGUAAUGAUUAAGAGGAACAGUUGGGGGCAUUCGUAUUUCAUUGUCAGAGGUGAAAUUCUUGGAUUUAUGAAAGACGAACUUCUGCGAAAGCAUUUGCCAAGGAUGUUUUCAUUGA
RNAcentral lists this ribosomal RNA (365 nucleotides) under uncultured eukaryote. RNAcentral's name for it is "partial 18S ribosomal RNA". It matches the Rfam family "Eukaryotic small subunit ribosomal RNA", at positions 592 to 976 of the family's 1831-position model. The record is from RNAcentral.